This 72-nucleotide transfer RNA is filed under the name Henricia antillarum. RNAcentral's name for it is "tRNA-Gln". It matches the Rfam family "tRNA". Rfam says of the family: Transfer RNA (tRNA) molecules are approximately 80 nucleotides in length. Their secondary structure includes four short double-helical elements and three loops (D, anti-codon, and T loops). Further hydrogen bonds mediate the characteristic L-shaped molecular structure. tRNAs have two regions of fundamental functional importance: the anti-codon, which is responsible for specific mRNA codon recognition, and the 3' end, to which the tRNAs corresponding amino acid is attached (by aminoacyl-tRNA synthetases). tRNAs cope with the degeneracy of the genetic code in two manners: having more than one tRNA (with a specific anti-codon) for a particular amino acid; and 'wobble' base-pairing, i.e. permitting non-standard base-pairing at the 3rd anti-codon position. The record is from RNAcentral. Lineage: Eukaryota; Metazoa; Echinodermata; Asteroidea; Spinulosida; Echinasteridae.
UAGAAAAUAGUUUAAAAGGAAAAACAAAGAAUUUUGAUUUCUUUAAUUUAAGUUCAACUCUUACUUUUCUAA